RNAcentral lists this ribosomal RNA (1324 nucleotides) under metagenome. Its description in RNAcentral is "bacterial LSU rRNA". It matches the Rfam family "Bacterial large subunit ribosomal RNA", at positions 1561 to 2925 of the family's 2925-position model. The record is from RNAcentral.
AGUGGAUGGGGAGCAACCUAGUUGUGCGUGUGUAAAGGUAGUGCCAAGAAAAGCGAUGAUCAUGUUGAAAAUCAAUUCCCGGUACCCGAAACCGACACAGGUGGGCAAGUAGAGAAUACUAAGGGGCGCGAGGUAACUCUCUCCAAGGAACCCGGCAAAAUGACCCCGUAACUUAGGGAGAAGGGGUGCCACCGAGAGGUGGUCGCAGUGAAGAGGCCCAGGCGACUGUUUAGCAAAAACAUAGGUCUCUGCAAACUCGAAAGAGGAGGUAUAGGGGCUGACGCCUGCCCAGUGCCGGAAGGUUAAAGAAGUUGGUCAGUUAUAGGAUGAAGCUAGCGACUGAAGCCCCGGUGAACGGCGGCCGUAACUAUAACGGUCCUAAGGUAGCGAAAUUCCUUGUCGGGUAAGUUCCGACCCGCACGAAAGGCGUAACGAUCUGGGCGCUGUCUCGGAGAGAGGCUCGGCGAAAUAGGAUUGUCUGUGAAGAUACGGACUACCUGCAUUUGGACAGAAAGACCCUAUGAAGCUUUACUAUAGCUUGGAAUUGUGUUCGGGCUUCCUGUGCGCAGGAUAGGUGGGAGGCGUAGAAGGUAUUCUUGUGGGGAUACUGGAGCCAACGGUGAGAUACCACUCUCAGGAGGCUAGAAUUCUAACUUAAUUAAGGACAGUUUCAGGUGGGUAGUUUGACUGGGGCGGUCGCCUCCAAAAAGGUAACGGAGGCGUACAAAGGUUCCCUCAGACUGGUUGGAAAUCAGUCGAAGAGUGCAAAGGCAGAAGGGAGCUUGACUGCGAGAAGUACAGUUCGAGCAGGGUGGAAACACGGUCUUAGUGAUCCGACGGUGCGGUGUGGAAGGGCCGUCGCUCAACGGAUAAAAGUUACUCUAGGAUAACAGGCUGAUCUCCCCCAAGAGUUCACAUCGACGGGGAGGUUUGGCGCCUCGAUGUCGGCUCAUCGCAACCUGGGGCGGAAGUACGUCCCAAGGGUUGGGCUGUUCGCCCAUUAAAGCGGUACGUGAGCUGGGUUCAGAACGUCGUGAGACAUUUCGGUCCAUAUCCGAUGUAGGCGUGAGAAUAUUGAGAGGAGCCUUCCUUAGUACGAGAGGACCGGGAAGGACGCACCGCUGGUGUACCUGUUAUGAUGCCAAUUGUAAACGCAGGGUAGCCAAGUGCGGAGAGGAUAACCGCUGAAAGCAUCUAAGUGGGAAGCCCACCUCAAGAUGAGUAUUCUGGUGUAAGGUCACGGGAAGACGACCCGUAAAUAGGCACGAGGUGGAAGUGCAGAGAUGUAUGAAGCCGAAGUGUACUAAUAGACCGUCGGCUUGAC